Molecule: small nuclear RNA, 105 nt
Filed under: Pogona vitticeps (central bearded dragon)
Lineage: Eukaryota; Metazoa; Chordata; Lepidosauria; Squamata; Agamidae
Description: U11 spliceosomal RNA (ENSPVIG00000008575.1)
Rfam family: U11 spliceosomal RNA
Source: RNAcentral
AAAAAGGGCUUCUGUUGUGAGUAUUACAUACUGAGAGAUGGCUGUGGCUUUAUUGUUUUCUGUGCAGAAUUGCUCUCAAGAGAUUUCGGAAGCAUAAUUUUGCUA